GAUGAACGCUAGCGGCAGGCCUAAUACAUGCAAGUCGAACGGGGUGAUUCAGCAAUGGAUCAUUCAGUGGCGCACGGGUGCGUAACGCGUAUGCAACCUACCUUAAACUGGGGGAUAGCCUUCCGAAAGGGAGAUUAAUACCGCAUAAUACUAUUUGAUGGCAUCUGAAGAUAGUUAAAGAUUUAUUGGUUUAAGAUGGGCAUGCGUGCCAUUAGCUAGUUGGUAGGGUAAUGGCCUACCAAGGCUACGAUGGCUAGGGGUUCUGAGAGGAUGAUCCCCCACACUGGUACUGAGAUACGGACCAGACUCCUACGGGAGGCAGCAGUAGGGAAUAUUGGGCAAUGGACGCAAGUCUGACCCAGCCAUGCCGCGUGCAGGAUGAAGGCCUUCUGGGUUGUAAACUGCUUUUAUCUAGGAAGAAAACACCCAUGCGUGGGAAACUGACGGUACUAGAUGAAUAAGCACCGGCUAACUCCGUGC
This 480-nucleotide ribosomal RNA is filed under the name uncultured bacterium. RNAcentral describes it as "bacterial SSU rRNA". It matches the Rfam family "Bacterial small subunit ribosomal RNA", at positions 28 to 508 of the family's 1533-position model. The record is from RNAcentral.